CGUGUAGGCGGUUUCUUAAGUCUGAUGUGAAAGCCCUGGGCUCAACCCGGGAAGUGCAUUGGAAACUGGGCAACUUGAGUACGGGAGAGGGUAGUGGAAUUCCGAGUGUAGGGGUGAAAUCCGUAGAUAUUCGGAGGAACACCGGUGGCGAAGGCGGCUACCUGGACCGAUACUGAUGCUGAGACGCGAAAGCGUGGGGAGCAAACA
This 207-nucleotide ribosomal RNA is filed under the name uncultured delta proteobacterium. RNAcentral describes it as "partial 16S ribosomal RNA". It matches the Rfam family "Bacterial small subunit ribosomal RNA", at positions 568 to 774 of the family's 1533-position model. The record is from RNAcentral. Lineage: Bacteria; Deltaproteobacteria.